Molecule: long non-coding RNA, 393 nt
Filed under: Phoenix dactylifera (date palm)
Lineage: Eukaryota; Viridiplantae; Streptophyta; Magnoliopsida; Arecales; Arecaceae
Description: long non-coding RNA (PDAC_LNC015596)
Source: RNAcentral
UCCAAUCCCACCACUCGAGCCGGCAAAUUCUUCCUAAAUUUUACCUAUCAUUACCCAAUCAUUCGUUUGACCACACAGCCAGAGCCCCCUUAUCCCUUGUCCACCUACAAGCCAACUCCUUCCCUCUUUAAUUCCUUAAAUUCGUCCCAAUUUGCUCUUAGAAUUCACAUUUUGGGGCUUCAAUUUGCUGAAGUUCGAAUCUUUCGACGUUAUUAUCCCUCGUUUUUGUGAUCCUAUCCUCCCUUCUUUUGCUUCUGGAUUUAGAGUAGUUGGGGCUUUCUAUGGCUCUGCAACUCAGCAGUGCGGGGUUUUGCCUCUUUCGUGGCAGGAGAGCUCUUACGACGAGAGCCGUGGCCUCUGAGGAUGUUACAACGUUGAAAGAAGAGAACAAAG